AUUGAACGCUGGCGGCAUGCCUUACACAUGCAAGUCGAACGGCAGCACGGGAGCAAUCCUGGUGGCGAGUGGCGAACGGGUGAGUAAUAUAUCGGAACGUGCCCAGUAAUGGGGGAUAGCCCGGCGAAAGCAGUUAAUACCGCAUACGACCUACGGGUGAAAGCGGGGGAUCGCAAGACCUCGCGUUAUUGGAGCGGCCGAUAUCAGAUUAGCUUGUUGGCGGGGUAAAGCCCACCAAGGCGACGAUCUGUAGCUGGUCUGAGAGGACGACCAGCCACACUGGGACUGAGACACGGCCCAGACUCCUACGGGAGGCAGCAGUGGGGAAUUUUGGACAAUGGGCGCAAGCCUGAUCCAGCCAUGCCGCGUGUGGGAAGAAGGCCUUCGGGUUGUAAACCACUUUUGUCAGGGAAGAAACGGCUCUUACUAAUAUUAGGAGCUAAUGACGGUACCUGAAGAAUAAGCACCGGCUAACUACGUGC
Molecule: ribosomal RNA, 482 nt
Filed under: beta proteobacterium S23410
Lineage: Bacteria; Pseudomonadati; Pseudomonadota; Betaproteobacteria
Description: bacterial SSU rRNA
Rfam family: Bacterial small subunit ribosomal RNA
Source: RNAcentral